UACGGAGGGGGCUAGCGUUGUUCGGAAUUACUGGGCGUAAAGCGCACGUAGGCGGCUUUGUAAGUUAGAGGUGAAAGCCCGGGGCUCAACUCCGGAAUUGCCUUUAAGACUGCAUCGCUAGAAUUGUGGAGAGGCAAGUGGAAUUCCGAGUGUAGAGGUGAAAUUCGUAGAUAUUCGGAAGAACACCAGUGGCGAAGGCGACUUACUGGACACAUAUUGACGCUGAGGUGCGAAAGCGUGGGGAGCAAACAGG
RNAcentral lists this ribosomal RNA (253 nucleotides) under uncultured bacterium. RNAcentral's name for it is "partial 16S ribosomal RNA". It matches the Rfam family "Bacterial small subunit ribosomal RNA", at positions 524 to 776 of the family's 1533-position model. The record is from RNAcentral.